UACGGAGGUUGCAAGCGUUGUUCGGAAUGACUGGGCGUAAAGGGAGCGCAGGCGGCCAAGUCAGUCUGAAGUGAAAGCCCGGGGCUCAACCCCGGAAUUGCUUUGGAUACUGCCUGGCUUGAGUAUGCGAGAGGAAAGCGGAAUUCCAGGUGUAGCGGUGAAAUGCGUAGAUAUCUGGAGGAACACCGGUGGCGAAAGCGGCUUUCUGGCGCAUAACUGACGCUGAGGCUCGAAAGCGUGGGGAGCGAACGGGAUUAGAUACCCCCGUAGU
RNAcentral lists this ribosomal RNA (271 nucleotides) under uncultured prokaryote. Its description in RNAcentral is "partial 16S ribosomal RNA". It matches the Rfam family "Bacterial small subunit ribosomal RNA", at positions 524 to 794 of the family's 1533-position model. The record is from RNAcentral.